RNAcentral lists this unclassified non-coding RNA (236 nucleotides) under fungal sp. RNAcentral describes it as "partial contains 5.8S ribosomal RNA, internal transcribed spacer 2, and large subunit ribosomal RNA". Lineage: Eukaryota; Fungi. The record is from RNAcentral.
CGCACAUUGCGCCCUUUGGUAUUCCGAAGGGCAUGCCUGUUCGAGCGUCAUUUAAAUAAUCAAGCUCUGCUUGGUAUUGGACCCGGUCUUAGGACCCGUCCGGAACUCAGUGGCGGUGUCGUCCGGCCCUAAGCGUAGCAAAACUAUCCGCUUUAGGUGCCCGCGGCGACCUAGCCAGGUAACUAUCAUACCUAAAGUUUGACCUCGGAUCAGGUAGGGAUACCCGCUGAACUUAA